Molecule: ribosomal RNA, 255 nt
Filed under: uncultured bacterium
Lineage: Bacteria
Description: partial 16S ribosomal RNA
Rfam family: Bacterial small subunit ribosomal RNA
Source: RNAcentral
CCACGCUGUAAACGAUGAGUGCUAGGUGUCGGGGAGGAAUUCCCGGUGCCGCAGCAAACGCAAUAAGCACUCCACCUGGGGAGUACGAUCGCAAGAUUGAAACUCAAAGGAAUUGACGGGGGCCCGCACAAGCGGUGGAGCAUGUGGUUUAAUUCGAAGCAACGCGAAGAACCUUACCAAGGCUUGACAUCCCGCUGAAGCAGUUAGAGAUAGCUGUGUCCUUCGGGACAGCGGAGACAGGUGGUGCAUGGUUGU